GACGAACCGUGCGAACGUUGUUCGGAAUCACUGGGCUUAAAGGGCGCGUAGGCGGGCUGGCAAGUCAGGGGUGAAAGCCCACGGCUCAACCGUGGAAGUGCCUUUGAUGCUGCCGGCCUGGAGGGAGGUAGGGGCGUGCGGAACUUCCGGUGGAGCGGUGAAAUGCGUAGAUAUCGGAAGGAACACCGGUGGCGAAAGCGGCGCGCUGGACCUCUUCUGACGCUGAGGCGCGAAAGCCAGGGGAGCAAACGGG
RNAcentral lists this ribosomal RNA (253 nucleotides) under uncultured bacterium. RNAcentral's name for it is "partial 16S ribosomal RNA". It matches the Rfam family "Bacterial small subunit ribosomal RNA", at positions 524 to 776 of the family's 1533-position model. The record is from RNAcentral.